CGGCUAGGAUCAGGCGCUGCCCAAGGGGCAGUGUUACCAUGGGUAAUAAAAACUUGCUGCGUUUUAGGGUAUGGUGGGCGCAUUCACGACGGUGUGUCGCAUUUUAAAUUUUUGGGAGGAUUGAUAGAUUGAGACCACUUUCUUGAUUCGGUGGAUGGUGGUGCAUAUCCGUUCUUAGUUGGUGGAGCGACUUGUCUGGUAAAUUCCGAUAACAAACGAGACUCUAUCCUAUUAAAUAGGUGCGUGGUUCUCUGCACCUUGCACCCUUAGAGGGACAAGCAGCUCCUGGCCGCACAAAAAAAGACCAAGAACAGGUCUGUGAUGCGCUUACAUAUUGGGGGCCGCACGCGCGCUCCACUGAAGGAAGCAGCGUCUUUUUAUCCCUGUCUGUGAAGACAGUAAGCUUAGAAAAAUGUGACUUCCCUAUUGAAAAAGGCCAAUAUGAAGUCAGCUUAUUGGAAAUAUUGUAUUCCAAUGAAGA
Ixodes scapularis (black-legged tick) is the source of this 481-nucleotide non-coding RNA. The record is from Rfam. Lineage: Eukaryota; Metazoa; Arthropoda; Arachnida; Ixodida; Ixodidae.